UAGAUAUCUUUAUUAAUUGAAAUUAUUUUAAAGUUUAUUCCUACUUUAUUUGUAUACCAAAUGAGAAAAAUACGUUAACAUACAUUCCAGGUUACUCUAUCAUAUCCAUCAAAUGGGUUUUCCGGUAAUACUGAUAACAACGGCAUCGUUUACAACGACCUUGUUGCGCCAAUCUACACAUCAAAGAUACGGUUUUAUCCUCAGACGUGGAAUAAUGGUAUUAGUAUGUCGGUAAAGCUGUAUGGAUACAACAAUUAUGGUACUGUAUCGGUUCCACCAACAACCUGUAGCAGCACAACAACAGCUGGACCUGGUGGCCCUGGAACAAUAUUUUUGGCCCAGUCAGGUGCUGGUGUAGGGACUGUAGUUAUUGAUGCCAGAGGAAAAGACCCUAAAGUGAAGAAGAUUAAAAACUGUGAUCAAUUUGAUG
Long non-coding RNA from Mytilus californianus (California mussel), 430 nucleotides. RefSeq lists it as uncharacterized. Lineage: Eukaryota; Metazoa; Mollusca; Bivalvia; Mytilida; Mytilidae. The record is from RefSeq and is a predicted model, not a curated record. The transcript is spliced from 3 exons.